RNAcentral lists this long non-coding RNA (705 nucleotides) under Homo sapiens (human). Its description in RNAcentral is "HSALNT0260068". The record is from RNAcentral. Lineage: Eukaryota; Metazoa; Chordata; Mammalia; Primates; Hominidae.
CAGAAGUGCAGCUGAAGAAAGUAUCUAGGACAGAAAUCCACGACAAGUCCUUGGAACCAGCAGAUCUCUUCGUUCACGGAGACGUUGACGUAUUCUCUAUUGAAGAAGAUUCUUACCUUCUUACUGGACAAGGUUUUGUCAGUUCUGCGUGACUGGAUUGUCCGGGAGACUCUGAGGAAACUGAUGUCACAUGUUUUUCCAAAGAAGAUGUUUCUGGAACCAACAACUGUGAUUGUGGUUUGAGGACUUCUGAGAGUUCCAGUACAGGAAAUAAGCAGAACAUCAGCUGGAGGCUAAACGGAUCCAGACUUCACUCUUCACUUCCCUUCCUAUUCAGUCUAUUGUGCCUGCUGACUGAGAAGCUUGGCUGGUAUGUGAGCAAAUAAACGGAACUAUUCAGAAGGAGAUGUUGACAUAUUCUGUAUUGAAGAAGAUCCUUAUCUUCUCACCUGACAAGGUUUUGUCAGUUCUGUGUGACUGGAUUGUCCGGAAGACUCUGAGGAAACUGAUGUCACAUGUUUUUCCAAAGAAGAUGUUUCUGGAACCAACAACUGUGAUUGUGGUUUGAGGACGCCUGGGAGUUCCGGUAUGCGAAAUAAGCAGAACAUCAGCUGGCGGCUGAAGGGAUGCAGCCUCCACUCUUCACUUCCCUUGCCAUUCCAUCUAUUGUGUCUGCCUGACUGAGAAGCUUGGCUGGUAUGUGAG